Molecule: long non-coding RNA, 2054 nt
Organism: Salmo trutta (river trout)
Lineage: Eukaryota; Metazoa; Chordata; Actinopteri; Salmoniformes; Salmonidae
Source: Ensembl
UUAGAAUGUGUCAGUGUGGUGAUGUCAUAAUGUGGUAUAGACUCAACAGUUAGAAUGUGUCAGUGUGGUGAUGUCAUAGUCAUAAUGCGGAAUAGACUCAACAGUUAGAAUGUGUCAGUGUGGUGAUGUCAUAGUCAUAAUGCGGAAUAGACUCAACAGUUAGAGUGUGUGUGUGUGUGUCUUAAUAGUAACGCUGUGUGUGUGCAGGUUUCCCUCCUCCCAGCGGCCCCCCUCCCUCUCUCAUCCCCACCUUGGACAGCAGUGGGCAUCCAGGUGGAUAUGAUGGCCGUCCCGUUCCACCAUACCCCUUCCCCACAGGUGGUUUCCCUCCUCCUAUGACAGGUAUGUCCUCAUCACUACAGUAUAUUCUCCUCACUACAGUAUAUCCUCCUCCUACUCACUACAGUAUCUCCUCCUCCUCCUCCUCCUCCUCCUCACUACUAUAAUGUCUCUGUCUCCAGGUGGCUACCCUCCUCCUAUGCCAGGUGUGGUGUCUCCAUGGCCUCCUAUGAUGGACCAGUCUAAACAGUGGGACUACUACCCUCCAGGUAAACCAGUCUAAACAGUGGGACUACUACCCUCCAGGUACACCUAAACAGGAGGGUGGUAUGGACAAUGUAUUUAUUUAAUGUGAUCAGUGGCAGAUCUGUGUAAUAGCAGAAUUUAAAGGUCAUAUCUGAUUGAGCUGACAUAUGCAGCGGUUACCGUGACUACGGUCUCCGUGAACACAGGAACAUUGCCUUUAACAGGGUCAUAGCUGACAAAGCAGGAUCAGAUUGAAUCCCAGCCUUACUCUGUUAGUCAGCGCCUCUACAAACUGUUUAUGGGUGUCAGCUGUUUUUUACUAGUGAUCAAUAACCAACCUGUCAAUCAAUAACCAAUCAAUCAGUGUGACCUGAUGUUCUUUACUGUACUACUACCCAGCAGGACCGGGACCAGGACCCAGACGGGAGGACAAGAGGGAGAAGGAGAGAGAGAGACCCAGGGAGAGACCACAUGAGAGGGAGAGGGAGAGAGAGCACAGCCCCUCCACUAUGGCUUACAACAGUGAUGAGGAGCGGUACCGCGGUUACCGGGAGUACCAGGCGGAGCGUGGCUACAGCGGCGGUGACCGUGGAGGAGGUGACCGUGGAGGGGGGGGAGCGUGGAGGCGUAGACCGUGGGGGUGACCGUGGAGGGGGGGAGCGUGGUGGUGACCGUGGCAGUGGUGGUGAGCGUGGUGGUGGUGGAGGGGAGCGCCACAGAGAGAGGUCGAGCCGUGAGAAGGAAGAGAGACACAGAGAGAGAAGACACAGAGAGAAGGAGGAGGGGAGACACAAGUCAUCACGCAGGUACGCCACACACACACACACACACACACACACACACACACACACACACACUAUUUCACCUCUUUGUUGUAUCAGAAUCAGAACUGUCUUCCUUUUCUCCCCUCUCUCUCUCUCCCCCCUCUCUCUCCCCCUCACUCUCUCUCCCCCUCACUCUCUCUCCCCCUCUCUCUCACUCCCCCUCUCUCUCACUCUGAGCAGUAGCAGCAGGAGGAGACAUGAUAGUGAAGAAGGAGACGGUCACAGGAGACACAAACACAAGAAGAGCAAGAGAAGCAAGGAGGGCAAGGAACCUAGUGAUGACAUGGGAGGAGACCAGGAGAACCAGGACACCAUGGAGUGAUGAAGAGAACAUCCUCCUCUGCCUCUCUCUCCUCCGCAUCUCUCUCCCUCUGUUUCCCUCUAUACGUCCCUCCAUCUUUCUCCUCUCUCCAUCUCUCCUGUUUCCCUCUAUACGUCCCUCCAUCUUUCUCUCUCCAUCACUCCCUCGGAGCACUGUUGUAGUUGAUCAUGCUCAGAGAUUGUUGUUGUUUACCCGUUCCCUUCGUAGUCAUGACGAUCAUAAACAACCCUCAUCUUCUGUCAUUUAUUUUCGUCCCUCUAUUUUCUUAACCAAACACCUCGCUGAAAGAUGUCAAUUUGUUGAAUUAAAAAACAAGCUUUUGAUAACUUCUGUGUGUUGGGUGGUUUCUGUGUGUGCCUGGGUGGUGUCUGUGUGUGCCUGGG